ACAUGCAAGUCGUACGCACUGGCCCACUGAUUGGCGGUGCUUGCCCCUGAUUGAUUAUGGAUCACCAGUGAGUGGCGCACGGGUGAGUCACACGUAGGUAACCUGCCCCGGAGCGGGGGAUAACAUUUGGAAACGGAUGCUAAUACCGCUCAACAACAAAAGCCACAUGGCUUUUGUUUAAAAGAUGGCUUUGGCUAUACCUCUGGGAUGGACCUGCGGUGCAGUAGCUACUUGGUAAGGUAGCGGCUUACCAUGGCCAAAAUGCAAAGCCGAGUUGACAGACUGAUCCGGCACCAUGGACCUGACACCCAGUCGAUGCUCCUACAGGAAGCCUCCCUAGGGAAUCUUCCACCAUGGGCACCAGCCUGAUGGAACUACACCGCGUGAGUGAAUAAUGGUUUCCGCUCGUUAAACUCUAUUGUUGGAGAAAAACGUGGUUGAGAGUAACUGUUCACCCAAUGACCGUAUCCAACCUAAAUGUCUCGGCUAACUACCUGCCAUCCGCCGCUGUCAUACGUAGGUGGCAAUCGUUAUGUCCGGAUUUAUAGCGCGGUGAAGCGAGACGCCAGGCUGAUGCUUAGAGUCUGAUUGUGGAAGCCUUCGGCUGAACCCGAAGAAUAGUGCAUCUGGAAACCUGCGAGAACAUGAGUGCAGGAACAAGGACAAGUGGAACUCCAUGUGUAGCGAGUGGAAUUGAAUAAAACUAUAAGGAAGGAACCACCACUUGGCGAAGGCGGCAGUCUGGUUCUGCGACCUGAAACCUUGAGGCUCCGCAAACAUGGGUAGAGAACAGGAAUAAAUACCCUGGUAAUCCAUGCCGCAAACGAUGAGUGCGUAAGUCGUCUGCAGGGAUUGCCGCCCCUCACUUGCACUGAGCAUAACCGCACUAGAGCCACUCACGACUGGGGAAGUACGAACCGCAAAGUAGAUAGACUCAAAGGAGCACUUGACAGGCGGCCCGCACACAUAGUCGGUGGAACUCAUGUGCUUUGAAGUCCGAAGCUACGCGAAGACACCGUACCCGGUUUUGACAUUCUGCGGUCCACUUAGAGAUAAGGCGUUCCCUUUGGGGACCAAAUGACCGGUGGUGCAUGGUCGUUGUCAGCUUGUGUUGUGAGAUGUUGGGUUAAGUCCCGCAACGAGCGCAACCCUUGUUAGUAGUUGCCAGCCUUAAGUUGGGCCCUUUAGUGAGACCGCCGGUGACAAACCGGAGGAAGGGGGGGAAGAAGUCAAAUCAUCCUGCCCCUUAUGACCUGGGCUACCCCCCUGCUACAAUGGACGGUACAACGAGUCGCAAGCUCGCGAGAGUUAGCUAAUUUUUUAAAGCCGUUUUCAGUUUGGAAUGUAGGGUGCAAAUUGCCUACCAGAAGUUGGAAUCGCUUGUAAUCGCGGAUCAGCAUGCCGCGGUGAAUACGUUCCCGGGCCUUGUACACACCGCCCGUCACACCAUGGGAGUUUGGAACCCCCAAAGUCGGUGGCCUAACCUCAUGGAGGAA
This 1496-nucleotide ribosomal RNA is filed under the name Limosilactobacillus reuteri. RNAcentral describes it as "bacterial SSU rRNA". It matches the Rfam family "Bacterial small subunit ribosomal RNA". The record is from RNAcentral. Lineage: Bacteria; Bacillati; Bacillota; Bacilli; Lactobacillales; Lactobacillaceae.